GACGAGCGCUGGCGGCGUGCUUAACACAUGCAAGUCGAACGAGAGCGUAGAGAAAGCUUGCUUUUUCUACAAUCUAGUGGCAAACGGGUGAGUAACGCGUAAACAACCUGCCCUACGGAUGGGGACAACAGCUGGAAACGGCUGCUAAUACCGAAUACGUUCCGAAAGUCGCAUGACUAUCGGAAGAAAGGAUGGCCUCUAUUUAUAAGCUAUCGCCGGAGGAGGGGUUUGCGUCUGAUUAGCUAGUUGGAGGGGUAACGGCUCACCAAGGCGACGAUCAGUAGCCGGUCUGAGAGGAUGAACGGCCACAUUGGAACUGAGACACGGUCCAGACUCCUACGGGAGGCAGCAGUGGGGAAUCUUCCGCAAUGGGCGAAAGCCUGACGGAGCAACGCCGCGUGAGUGAAGACGGCCUUCGGGUUGUAAAGCUCUGUUAUACGGGACGAAUAAUCUUGUGGUUAAUACCCAUGAGAAGUGACGGUACCGUAAGAGAAAGCCACGGCUAACUACGUG
This 513-nucleotide ribosomal RNA is filed under the name uncultured bacterium. RNAcentral's name for it is "partial 16S ribosomal RNA". It matches the Rfam family "Bacterial small subunit ribosomal RNA", at positions 28 to 507 of the family's 1533-position model. The record is from RNAcentral.